GCCCAGGUGGCGAAAUGGUAGACGCGCUACCUUGAGGUGGUAGUGGAGAAAUCUGUGGAGGUUCAAGUCCUCUCCUGGGCACCA
RNAcentral lists this transfer RNA (84 nucleotides) under Minisyncoccota bacterium. RNAcentral describes it as "tRNA-Leu". It matches the Rfam family "tRNA". From Rfam's summary of the family: Transfer RNA (tRNA) molecules are approximately 80 nucleotides in length. Their secondary structure includes four short double-helical elements and three loops (D, anti-codon, and T loops). Further hydrogen bonds mediate the characteristic L-shaped molecular structure. tRNAs have two regions of fundamental functional importance: the anti-codon, which is responsible for specific mRNA codon recognition, and the 3' end, to which the tRNAs corresponding amino acid is attached (by aminoacyl-tRNA synthetases). tRNAs cope with the degeneracy of the genetic code in two manners: having more than one tRNA (with a specific anti-codon) for a particular amino acid; and 'wobble' base-pairing, i.e. permitting non-standard base-pairing at the 3rd anti-codon position. The record is from RNAcentral. Lineage: Bacteria; Bacillati; Minisyncoccota.